This 271-nucleotide ribosomal RNA is filed under the name uncultured Ascomycota. Its description in RNAcentral is "partial 18S ribosomal RNA". It matches the Rfam family "Eukaryotic small subunit ribosomal RNA", at positions 548 to 826 of the family's 1831-position model. The record is from RNAcentral. Lineage: Eukaryota; Fungi; Ascomycota.
UUGGAGGGCAAGUCUGGUGCCAGCAGCCGCGGUAAUUCCAGCUCCAAUAGCGUAUAUUAAAGUUGUUGCAGUUAAAAAGCUCGUAGUUGAACCUUGGGUCUGGCUGGCCGGUCCGCCUCACCGCGAGUACUGGUCCGGCUGGACCUUUCCUUCUGGGGAAUCUCAUGGCCUUCACUGGCUGUGGGGGGAACCAGGACUUUUACUGUGAAAAAAUUAGAGUGCUCAAAGCAGGCCUUUGCUCGAAUACAUUAGCAUGGAAUAAUAGAAUAGG